UACUGGUGUUAUCUAAUAUAAUUUUAACCUAAUUGAUGAACUCAAUGCGAGGGUUAAUUAAGUGAUUGAUGGUUGUUUAUGUCUAUGCAAUUUCACGUAUUGCUGUAAACUUGGGAUUUCACAUUUUCAUUCUCUUAAACCCAUCCUUUCCUAACUCUCUAUCCUCCUGCAACUGUGUGAAUGUGUGAGUGCGUGUGCUUAUGUGUUAGAUUAGUUUAUAUGUCUUAGAUUUAUCUAAUAAAGCCUUAUUUAUGUUGAAAAGAGAAGUAUCUUGUGUUUUGUGCUUACAAGUUAAUGUCUUAAACUGCCGAUCUUGUUACUGUGCUAAUUAAUAGUGUUGUCACUAUACUUUGGAUAUUAAUAUCCAGCGCAGAUUUGAUGUUAUACGGCUCGUUCAGUGAAUCGCUGGCCGUUUCAUUGCUCAGCCGUGAAACAGUGAUUCUGUUCAAAUUCCCUUGAAAAUCUUAAAUGAUUCCCUUUGAGCUAAAUUGACCUGUUUCCCUUACAGAUAAGUGGGGUUAUUAAAGCACAAUUCCCGACCAGAACACACUAAUUUUCAAAGCCUGGAUAAGGCCACGGUGCCUUCCAUUCCCCCAGUGUGUUUCUCCUUUUCACAGUCUGGCAGAAAUUAUGGAUGGUUCCAAAAUACAUCUUCACAUGACAGUAAAAGUGUACAGUUGCCAAGAUGUAGGAGGUGGGUCAACAUACCCACUGGCUCAACUUACCCCACUCUCCCCUACUUCCAUUGAAGAUGAAGGCAGAAGCAGUCUCAGAGAGUGAGGGAGAGCCCAGUCUUAUUACAGUUAGUACAGAGUGUGCUGUCUUCUCUUUUAAUUGUAUAUUUGUAACAACUGGAUAAUUUGUAUUAACAAGCACCCACCACCCCCCUAGUGCCCCAUUUUUGGUUUGGCCACUGCCCCUCAAAAUGUCUGUGGACGACCCUGGUUCCUACACACCUGACUGGAAGCUUUCAUUGAUCCUAGUGACCUUGAUUAGCUGGUUCAGGUGUGUUUAAUUAGGACUGGAGAUAAACUUUGGCCUCGUCCACACGGAGACGCG
Molecule: long non-coding RNA, 1059 nt
Organism: Cyprinus carpio carpio
Lineage: Eukaryota; Metazoa; Chordata; Actinopteri; Cypriniformes; Cyprinidae
Source: Ensembl